GUAGGGUGCGAGCGUUAAUCGGAAUUACUGGGCGUAAAGCGUGCGCAGGCGGUUUUAUAAGCCAGAUGUGAAAGCCCCGGGCUCAACCUGGGAAUGGCAUUUGGGACUGUAAGGCUGGAGUAUGGCAGAGGAGACUAGAAUUCCUGGUGUAGCAGUGAAAUGCGUAGAUAUCAGGAGGAAUACCGAUGGCGAAGGCAGGUCUCUGGGCCAAUACUGACGCUCAUGCACGAAAGCGUGGGGAGCAAACAGGAUUAGAUACCCUGGUAGUCCACGCCCUAAACGAUGUCAACUGGUUGUUGGGGGAUUUAUUCUCUUAGUAACGAAGCUAACGCGUGAAGUUGACCGCCUGGGGAGUACGGUCGCAAGAUUA
This 370-nucleotide ribosomal RNA is filed under the name uncultured bacterium. RNAcentral describes it as "bacterial SSU rRNA". It matches the Rfam family "Bacterial small subunit ribosomal RNA", at positions 527 to 896 of the family's 1533-position model. The record is from RNAcentral.